GACACUCAUUGCAAUAUGUGUGUCAAGUAACGAAGUCUACCACUUUGAUUCUUUGCGUAAAGGAACAAUACGGUCCUUACUAGUCAAAUCAUUGUUAAAUAGUGUGAUGAAGAAGAUUACUUCAUCUGGACUUCGACAAGGAAAAGCUCCUGUUUGGUAUUUAGUCGAGUGUCCGGUACAAGAAGGUGGACUUGCGUGUGGGUAUUACGUCAUGAGGUUCAUGCUCGAUAUCGUCAACUAUUGCAAAGAUGUUGUUGAUCUUCGAAAGGUAUGUAACUUUUAGGUUUCCAAUUGUUGUUUGUUGUAUUUCCGGCCUAUUUUAGCCUUUUCGCUCC
Beta vulgaris subsp. vulgaris (sugar beet) is the source of this 335-nucleotide long non-coding RNA. RefSeq lists it as uncharacterized. The record is from RefSeq and is a predicted model, not a curated record. The transcript has 3 exons. Lineage: Eukaryota; Viridiplantae; Streptophyta; Magnoliopsida; Caryophyllales; Amaranthaceae.